GCUUGUCUCAAAGAUUAAGCCAUGCAUGUCUAAGUAUAAAUGGUAUACAGUGAAACUGCGAAUGGCUCAUUAAAACAGUUAUAGUUUAUUUGGUAUUCGAAUUUACAUGGAUAACCGUGGUAAUUCUAGAGCUAAUACAUGCAUCAAUCCUCUAUUUGAGGUGUAUUUAUUAGAUUGUAACCAAAGCGGGGUAACCCGGUAUAUGGUGAUUCAUAAUAACUUUCGGAUCGAUUUUAAUCGAUGCAUCAUUCAAGUUUCUGCCCUAUCAGCUUUGGAUGGUAGGGUAUUGGCCUACCAUGGCUUUAACGGGUAACGGAGAAUUAGGGUUCGAUUCCGGAGAGGGAGCCUGAGAAAUGGCUACCACAUCCAAGGAAGGCAGCAGG
Molecule: ribosomal RNA, 383 nt
Filed under: uncultured Chrysophyceae
Lineage: Eukaryota; Chrysophyceae
Description: partial small subunit ribosomal RNA
Rfam family: Eukaryotic small subunit ribosomal RNA
Source: RNAcentral